GACUGCUGACUGCUCUAACAACUCUCCUCUUCACUGGUAGUCUCUAUAUUCCUUCUCCUUUUAUAGCACUUCCUCAUUCUUAAUUUUCUAAUGAAAUCAAAGUAAUGAAUCUUACUUCUUAUGGCUUAGAAUUAGUUUGUUCCCCGUUUGCAAGAGAAACGGAGAGAAUUAAUUAAGAUUAUGUCAAUUGUAACUUACAUUGAUUGUGAAUUGGUUGAAUUGUAGGAUCCGAUCAAGAAGCCAUAAUGAUUCUGAUUAUUCAUGCACUGAACACUGAUUGUAAAUUAGUACAGAACACUGCUGGUUCAGUAUUAUUCUCCACUGUCAUUCAUUAUUCUGAAUUUAAUCGAAACGAGUUCUCAGUUUCUGCGUGUUUCCUGGUUUGUGACAGGAGGAAAAGAAAGAACGCUAUCUACGCUUCUCACUACCAAUCUCCGUUUCCCUUGUAUCUUGUUGUUAUCGUCUCUGUUUAUCAGGUAAUCUUCAUUAAUUCCUCCUUUUUGAGAUUCAUAUAGAUGGGACCUUAGGUGAUUCUCAUAUGAAAAAUGGAGUAUGCUAGCAUCCUUAUUUUCAUUAUUGAAUCUACAUUGAGUCUAUCAUACCCACAUACCAUUGAAAUCAUAUAUGGUGUUCAUCUGAAUAUGUGAUGGUAAUUGUGACUGUUAGAUUUGGAUUAAUCAAAUUUUCAUCUGAUAUUACUUGAUAGGUUGGUGGCAAGUGUCUUAAAAUUAGAAUUUAAGUUGAGUGUUUGCUUAAGACCUUGAGAGAAGCUGGUAGAUUAAAGAAUUAUUUGUAACCCUGGACAACCAAGAUAUUCAUCUCCUAACAUAGUCCAUCUAGCUCCUUCUCAAGACUGAACUAUUACAAGCUACCACCUAUAUGCAGUUUGAAACUAAUUCAACUUCAGAAAUAGAGGAAAUUGUUCUCUUCUACAUAAUUAAAAAACUGCUGCAAUCUGCAGGUUAGCACAGACAAUAAACUCUGUGAUCAGUUAUGACCAAUUCAAACAUAUAAGUUGUUACAACUUACAACAUAUAUGAUGUUACGAAACAACAAGUAGAAUAUACAUUAGCCUUAAUCAGAGUGUCCCUACAUAUUAUUUUGCUUCCCUAUAAGGAGCAGUUCCACCAAGUCCGGAAAUGGUGAGCAUAUAUAACUUGCAAGUUGCAACCAAAAAAAUAUUAGUCCAGUUAUAAUAUCAUGUGAGUCAAAUGGAAUUAUAAACUCUUCAAAGCAUGGUUUUUGAUACAUUGUUCCUAUAUAAUGUAUGCACGCAGGUUUUUGCUUGUGUUAAAUACCCAACAAAGAGUCAAAGACCAUGGGUUUAUCCUAACACUAUUUAUGCUAUGAACAUAAUAAAGUUUGAUUUUAUUUAUGCUCAUGCAAUUACCUCAUUUUCUAUUAUACAGUUUUAGAUGGCGUUACAAACAACUUCAACGCCUUAUGUUCGUUUAUGCUCAUGAUUCCCCUCAUUUUUUUUACUAGCCCAAUUUAUGCUUUGUCAUCUAUUUUACCCUCAAAUUUUAAUUUGUGUUUUACCUAUAAUGGUAUUUUCGGUGGUUUACAGAUUUCAGAGAGGACAUCGAAUCAAUUAGUAACUUCCUCAAAUUUUAAUACUCCCCCUUCAUCGAUUGGGGAACCACACUGUUGCGACGAUCUAUGAUUGUGUGGUAUAGUAUCUAUCAAGUCACAAAUAACAUUGAAGGUUUUGAUAGAUGAUUGUUCUCUACACGAGGGGCUUAAAAGGAGGACCUUCUAAAUUUUACAUGUGAGAUCGGAAUGAUGUAAGAGUUUUUAAAUCACUAGCAUGAACUCAAUUUGGAGUAUAUUUCUGGAAUUUGCUGAAUUGCAAACCCAAACAUGUCAAGCAGCAUUGAGUAGUAACAAUUAUCAUUGCAUAAUUUCUUGCUCGAGGGCUCUCUGAUUGUAAUACAUAUUGACUGAAUCAUUUGUUCUCCUACUGUCAUUUAGAAGGAAACUGUUCAGCUUUAAUUGGAUACCAAUUCGCCUAUCAGUGGCACUUUGAAAGAUCUUCUAACGAUGGGUUGAAGCAUAUCUUCAAUCAAGCAUGCUAAGGUAUCUCUCAAUUGCUACUUAUGAUGCCAACAUAGCUAGAGUUUCCUAAUUUUACUAAUAUUCUAACAAUGGAGCCUUUACAACUUUAUAGAAAACAAUUGCAGGUCCCAUUAUUAAGCCUGUCAAGGUCUUAAUAUAAAAGUGACGAUGAGAUUCUUAAGCUGGUUGGAUCUUUGUCUAAACUCUAAACAAUUCUAGGGAUGGUACCACUCUAAAGAGGAAACAUUCAUUGCUAAUGUGACUUCCUACUUAAGAUCAACUUUGAGUAUUUUGGUAAGGCUUCGAGUAUUUAGGGGAAUCAAUGUUGUCUUAUGGGUUUGCGGGAAUAAGUGUGCUUCAAUUGAAGUGUCAACAACUAACUCACACAAAAAAUUGUGUAGGAAAGAUUUUUCAGAUUAAGUUAAUUAUUCACAAAUUCACAAUGAACAGAUUGGAAUGAAGUUGGAUGAGAUAUUCGUUCUGGGCUUUGUUUUUUUUUAGAAAGGGUUUACAAACACCCAUAUUUGCAGUCUAGAUCUUCAUCUGAUAUCUGUACAUACGUAGAGUCGAGGGCAGGAACGUUAUUUGCAAUUUGACAUCAAAGGUUGUUGAAUUUUAUUGAGGGCAUCUUUAUGCUUAAUGGUGUUUGUGAUUCAAUUUAUACUUCCAUUAUGGCAUUUUCUUUUUUUGUGCUUCUUAAGUAAGAUAUGUACUUGUGUUCUUCUAUAUAUAGUUUUCCUUUACCAAUUUUUAAUUAUCAAAAUCAUCAAUAUGAAUUCUCUUUGUUUCAGCAUGAUCUAAGCAAUUUAAUGCAAUUAUCAGAGCUCACUUAUUAAUAAAACUCAUUUUGAACAAUUUAGUUGGUGGAUGUGAGGCUAGAUUAAUGUUAUGUUCUUGUUUCAAUUGAAAAUCUUAUCUGUUAAGGAUCUAAUGUGUGCAUCUAUAAUCUGUUGUACAGAUUAUGCCUAUAGGAAUGGGGUCUCGUGUCCUGGAAAUUAGAAUGUGUUGUAGUGGAGUGUGUAAAUUCUACAUUAGCUGAGGUAUGUAUCUAACUUGCUUUCUAUUCAUUAAGGUUCUUAAUAAUCAAUGUACUAUUGAACCAUCUAUUGAACAAGUGGUGCUCAUUCUCGCAAAUUCGAGUUGUACCACAACUGGUAUUCAUGCCGUUCCAGUUCCUCAUAGUGGUUGACUGUUGCCAAUUGUUGAACAUGUAGAGCUCCUUGCUGCAAAUCAAGGGGAGGUUGGCAGGGGCAAUUUUUGGUUGAGAGAGUGUAGGUGAAUGCAGGGUGGAGGGUGAGUGAUGGUGGGGCCGCACAGAUUGCAGUUUGAGAUAGGCAUGAUCUUCCAAUCCACUAUUAGUCAACAAGGUGAUGAAAGCACGUCUUGGUAUUAUAUGAGGAGCCUAAAUGUGUUUCCACCAACGUUGAGAUCGGAGUUACCUCUAGAUCUUAGAACCUCAUAAGCAGUGUUGAUUGUGUAUUUACCUGUACUUACCUGUAGGAUGUGGUAUUCCUUAGAGCAUUCCAAAUGUGUUUUAACUCCAGUGUAGAAUUCUGAGGCAUUACCCAUCUUCCAUGUUGAAGUUUGUCUAUGUAGGUUGUGUUCUUUUUUCCAGCCAUUUCACUCCAGAGAGUUGUUAGUCUUGUACUAUGGAUUUGGUAUAGAUUAGUAUUUAGUAGUCUUUACAUUUGUUGAACUCAUUUCAGUAUGUACAUCAUUGAAUGAUAUCUUCUGCAGUUAUGCUGCUCUAUAGUUUUCUCAAUAUGAUACCUCCUUGUAGUAUGACAACAGCGUAAGCAUGUUAGUGUGAACUGUAACAUUAACAUCUCUGUCGGGCAGAUCGGUACUGAUUAUUUAUGAUCUAUGCUCAUUAUUUUUUGGUAGGCAUCCAAGAUGCAGAUUAUGCUGCACGAAAAUUCAAUUUUCAUUUUUUAUUCAUCUAUAGGUUUUGCUUAAUGUGUCAGUUUGUAAUGUCAGUUGAUGGUUCUUGCUUGCUAUGUGUGAAAUAGCGUAGGUGGCUUUAACAGUACUAGAAGCAUUUCUGUGAUCAGGAAAUAGCUUGUCAAAGCAUGCUGCACAAAUGGUAGACAAUUGAGAUUAAUCUGGUGUUUAGGAUUAGAUCUUCCAUCUAAGGUUUCGUUUUUCUUAC
Molecule: long non-coding RNA, 4204 nt
Filed under: Aquilegia coerulea
Lineage: Eukaryota; Viridiplantae; Streptophyta; Magnoliopsida; Ranunculales; Ranunculaceae
Description: long non-coding RNA (ACOE_LNC002028)
Source: RNAcentral